This 523-nucleotide ribosomal RNA is filed under the name uncultured eukaryote. Its description in RNAcentral is "partial 18S ribosomal RNA". It matches the Rfam family "Eukaryotic small subunit ribosomal RNA", at positions 456 to 869 of the family's 1831-position model. The record is from RNAcentral.
UUUCCGAAAUAGUGACAAAAAAUAUCAAUGCUAGGUACUAUGUAUUUAGUAAUUGGAAUGAGUACAAUUUAAAUCCCUUAACAAGUAACAAUUAGAGGGCAAGUCUGGUGCCAGCAGCCGCGGUAAUUCCAGCUCUAAUAGCGUAUAUUAAUAUUGUUGCAGUUAAAAAGCUCGUAGUUGAAAUUUGGAACUUUAUUGUAUUGGUUUGUCUUUUGAUGAACUGUAUGAUGGGUUUCUUCCUACUAGAGUUCGAUUCUGUUCUUAACUGAAUGGAGUAGCUAUCUUUCGGGGUGGUCAGUUGGUUAUUAUAUCUCCACUAAUAAGCAGAGAGGGGUUAAACCUUUGAAGUAAGUUAUGUGGGUCAAGGUAUGGUGAUUAAUUGGAGUUCUAGUUCAUUUACUUUGAGAAAAAUUAGAGUGUUUUAAAGCAGCCUCUUGGGGCACUGAAUACAUUAGCAUGGGAUAAUAAAAUAGGAUCUUCACAAUAUAUUUUAUUGGUUUAAAUUGCGUAUGAAGAUAAUGAU